UACGUAGGGUGCAAGCGUUAAUCGGAAUUACUGGGCGUAAAGCGUGCGCAGGCGGUUGUGCAAGACAGAUGUGAAAUCCCCGGGCUCAACCUGGGAACUGCAUUUGUGACUGCACGGCUGGAGUGCGGCAGAGGGGGAUGGAAUUCCGCGUGUAGCAGUGAAAUGCGUAGAUAUGUGGAGGAAUACCGAUGGCGAAGGCAGCCUCCUGGGCCAACACUGACGCUCAUGCACGAAAGCGUGGGGAGCAAACAGG
This 253-nucleotide ribosomal RNA is filed under the name uncultured bacterium. RNAcentral's name for it is "partial 16S ribosomal RNA". It matches the Rfam family "Bacterial small subunit ribosomal RNA", at positions 524 to 776 of the family's 1533-position model. The record is from RNAcentral.